RNAcentral lists this ribosomal RNA (253 nucleotides) under uncultured bacterium. RNAcentral's name for it is "partial 16S ribosomal RNA". It matches the Rfam family "Bacterial small subunit ribosomal RNA", at positions 524 to 776 of the family's 1533-position model. The record is from RNAcentral.
UACAGGGGGGGCAAGCGUUGUUCGGAAUUACUGGGCGUAAAGGGCUCGUAGGUGGCCAACUAAGUCAGACGUGAAAUCCCUCGGCUCAACCGAGGAACUGCGUCUGAUACUGGUUGGCUUGAAUUCGGGAGAGGGAUGCGGAAUUCCAGGUGUAGCGGUGAAAUGCGUAGAUAUCUGGAGGAACACCGGUGGCGAAGGCGGCAUCCUGGGCUGGCACUGACGCUCAGGCACGAAAGCGUGGGGAGCAAACAGG